Molecule: ribosomal RNA, 310 nt
Filed under: uncultured bacterium
Lineage: Bacteria
Description: partial 16S ribosomal RNA
Rfam family: Bacterial small subunit ribosomal RNA
Source: RNAcentral
AAGAGACAGCAGUCGCCACGGUAAUACAGAGGGUGCGAGCGUUAAUCGGAUUUACUGGGCGUAAAGCGUGCGUAGGCGGCUUUUUAAGUCGGAUGUGAAAUCCCUGAGCUUAACUUAGGAAUUGCAUUCGAUACUGGGAAGCUAGAGUAUGGGAGAGGAUGGUAGAAUUCCAGGUGUAGCGGUGAAAUGCGUAGAGAUCUGGAGGAAUACCGAUGGCGAAGGCAGCCAUCUGGCCUAAUACUGACGCUGAGGUACGAAAGCAUGGGGAGCAAACAGGAUUAGAUACCCGUGUAGUCCCUGUCUCUUAUAA